UUCGAAGGGGGCUAGCGUUGUUCGGAAUCACUGGGCGUAAAGCGCACGUAGGCGGAUCUUUAAGUCGAAUGUGAAAGCCCCCGGCUCAACUGGGGAGGGUCAUUCGAUACUGAUCAACUUGAAGGCAGGAGAGAGAAGUGGAAUUCCCGGUGUAGUGGUGAAAUGCGUAGGUAUCGGGAGGGACACCAGUGGCGAAGGCGACUUCUUGGCCUGUUCUUGACGCUGAGGCGCGAAAGCUGGGGGAGCAAACGGG
This 253-nucleotide ribosomal RNA is filed under the name uncultured bacterium. RNAcentral's name for it is "partial 16S ribosomal RNA". It matches the Rfam family "Bacterial small subunit ribosomal RNA", at positions 524 to 776 of the family's 1533-position model. The record is from RNAcentral.